RNAcentral lists this transfer RNA (69 nucleotides) under Bavayia geitaina. RNAcentral's name for it is "tRNA-Ala". The record is from RNAcentral. Lineage: Eukaryota; Metazoa; Chordata; Lepidosauria; Squamata; Diplodactylidae.
GAGGUUUUAGCUUAAUUAAAGUGGUUGAGUUGCAUUCAGAAGAUGUAUAUUAAGGGUAUACAGGCCUUC